GAUGAACGCUGGCGGCGUGCCUAAUACAUGCAAGUCGAGCGAACAGACGAGGAGCUUGCUCCUCUGACGUUAGCGGCGGACGGGUGAGUAACACGUGGAUAACCUACCUAUAAGACUGGGAUAACUUCGGGAAACCGGAGCUAAUACCGGAUAAUAUAUUGAACCGCAUGGUUCAAUAGUGAAAGACGGUUUUGCUGUCACUUAUAGAUGGAUCCGCGCCGCAUUAGCUAGUUGGUAAGGUAACGGCUUACCAAGGCAACGAUGCGUAGCCGACCUGAGAGGGUGACCGGCCACACUGGAACUGAGACACGGUCCAGACUCCUACGGGAGGCAGCAGUAGGGAAUCUACCGCAAUGGGCGAAAGCUUGACGGAGCAACGCCGCGUGAGUGAUGAAGGUCUUCGGAUCGUAAAACUCUGUUAUUAGGGAAGAACAAAUGUGUAAGUAACUAUGCACGUAUUGACGGUACCUAAUCAGAAAGCCACGGCUAACUACGUG
RNAcentral lists this ribosomal RNA (497 nucleotides) under uncultured bacterium. Its description in RNAcentral is "partial 16S ribosomal RNA". It matches the Rfam family "Bacterial small subunit ribosomal RNA", at positions 28 to 507 of the family's 1533-position model. The record is from RNAcentral.